AAGUUUGAUUAGUGGCUGAGAGCUCGUCUGAAAAAAAAAAUCUUUUUCUUAAUUGAAACUGCAACUCUGUCGAAUAAAAUGGAUUAUUUACCAUGUGAGCAUUUCUAUUUCAGAUAAUUGAACACAUUUAUUCUUUUCUUGCAUACAGUGAUAGAUUACUCGCAACCGAGAUUUGCUUAAGAUGGCACGACAUCUUCAUCGUUCGGUUGAUAAAACAAACCGUUCUCCGGAUUAAAGGAGAUAAUAUCCACGCUAAGAUGAUGAGUUAUGAAUCGGUCAUUCAUCGAUUUGCGAUCAGCGAUCGAUGUUAUCCACACAUGACGCUGGAAGAUAUAGAUUUUUAUCAGACAAAUCGGAACACCGAAAUACAAAUAGCUAUAAUGAUGGCUAACCAGGGACUACAUGUACAAAGCUUGGACCUCAUAAAUUGUCGCCUUCCAAUGCAAAAACUUAACCAAAUAAUGCACAUGAUGAAUCGUGUGAAAACCUUGACCAUGGCUUAUUGCUAUAUCUCACUCUGUGCUGAAUUUUGGAGUAUUCCGUUUGUGCCUAAAUUUCACAACCUGGAAUCCAUCGCGCUUAAAAACAUUCGGUCCAAAAAUGAGGCUGAAGUUCUAGAGUUAUUGCUGAGGGGCAACCAAGCCAAGGUUGAUCUAACAAUGGAUAAUGAUAGUAUUGAUAACAGGACUCAGGUCAUCAGUUCAUUCGCUUCAAGGAUUGCACAUUUAUCAUUCGUUUUCUAUCAAAGCAAUACGCUUCGCAAUGUUUUUAGUGAACUUGAAAUGAACCUUGAAACGCUUCGGCUCAAAAGACAGCCACAUGACGAGCUGCACAGUAUUAUCCUUUUAGAAAUUCUUCCAGUUCAAAGGAAUUUGAAACAGUUGCAUAUAAAUACGUUAAUUUCCACCGAAGUGCUCCAGACGAUCGCAAGAACCGUCACAGGUUUAAAAUAUCUGUCAGUAACCAUCGGUGAAGAUGAUUCAAUACCGCUCGUGAACAUAUAUUGGCCAAACUUGAAGGUUUUCUAUUUAUCUCGUCAAAUAAAUUUGGAGUCACUGUUUGAAAAAAUGAGCUUCGACAGCCUGGAAGAACUGCAUUUGUACACGGAACGUUUGUCGAAAAACACAAUUGUAAACAUCUACGAAAAGUGUUGUCGGGUCAAGAAGUUAUCGUUGUCAGCGCUGUCGAUGGUGCGGUGUGAUGCCACUCUUGGUGAAAUAAAUCUUCACUUGACAAAGCUGGAAUCUUUGGCUGUGCAGUGCAGUUCGCGAACGACAUUUGUUCCUUUGCUGAAAGCAAUACAACUGCUACAUCGAUUGUCCUCAUUUUCGAUUGUUUUCUGCGAGAAGAUAAACGAUCGUUCAGCUGGAAGCAUAAUUCUGCCGUUUCUUCGUUCGCUCUGUAUAACUCGGAAUCGUAAGAUUUCUGCUGCAGGCAUUAAAAUACUAUCAACUAAUUGUCCCAGCAUAGAUAGUUUAAUCAUACGCGAAUGUCCCAUGUUUGGUGAUGAUGCCGUCGAGGUCAUAACGGAAUCUUUACCAUAUUUGACAUCCUUUGACAUAAGCAAUUCAAGUGCAAUCACGCUGAAUAGUAUAAGGUUAAUAUUAACGCGGCUCAGGUGCCUCUGCACUCUUCGAAUAGAUGAUUGCCCAAAGAUUUUAAAACAGUGGCGCAAUGCUUCGCAGUAUAUUGGCAAUUUAUUAUCUUUGCGAAACUUUUAUCACAAAUAUCCCGAAUUUUUCAUUUAUGAUCUUCCCAGCGAUUUUGUUACACAAUAUGAAAGCGAUGAUGAUUGCUUCGAUUACGAUAGUGCAAACGAUGCUUCGAACUCGGAAAACUUAGACGAUGUAGAAGAUCUAUUUAUUGCAUUGAAUGAACAGCUUGUAGAUGUAGACAAUGAAAUUAUUCGUAAUGCGGUUGAAGAUGCAGAAAUUAUUAUUAUUAGCGAUGAUGAUGAAGAUUGAUUUUUUUUAAAUCAAAUUGUUUAAUCAAAACUCUGCUUUGAAAGCAAGAAGACUGUUUGUUGGCGACGUAAAAUAUUAGGACUUCUUGUAGCAAACUCUGGGAUUUGUGAUUUCUGCUGCAGGCAUUAAAAUACUAUCAACUAAUUGUCCCAGCAUAGAUAGUUUAAUCAUACGCGAAUGUCCCAUGUUUGGUGAUGAUGCCGUCGAGGUCAUAACGGAAUCUUUACCAUAUUUGACAUCCUUUGACAUAAGCAAUUCAAGUGCAAUCACGCUGAAUAGUAUAAGGUUAAUAUUAACGCGGCUCAGGUGCCUCUGCACUCUUCGAAUAGAUGAUUGCCCAAAGAUUUUAAAACAGUGGCGCAAUGCUUCGCAGUAUAUUGGCAAUUUAUUAUCUUUGCGAAACUUUUAUCACAAAUAUCCCGAAUUUUUCAUUUAUGAUCUUCCCAGCGAUUUUGUUACACAAUAUGAAAGCGAUGAUGAUUGCUUCGAUUACGAUAGUGCAAACGAUGCUUCGAACUCGGAAAACUUAGACGAUGUAGAAGAUCUAUUUAUUGCAUUGAAUGAACAGCUUGUAGAUGUAGACAAUGAAAUUAUUCGUAAUGCGGUUGAAGAUGCAGAAAUUAUUAUUAUUAGCGAUGAUGAUGAAGAUUGAUUUUUUUUAAAUCAAAUUGUUUAAUCAAAACUCUGCUUUGAAAGCAAGAAGACUGUUUGUUGGCGACGUAAAAUAUUAGGACUUCUUGUAGCAAACUCUGGGAUUUGUGGUAGAGUAUAGCUCAAAGCUAAAAUAUAUAUUUAAAUUUAA
RNA transcript from Culex quinquefasciatus (southern house mosquito), 2766 nucleotides. It is a transcript of the gene named homeobox protein unc-4, with no coding region annotated. The record is from RefSeq and is a predicted model, not a curated record. The transcript has 7 exons. Lineage: Eukaryota; Metazoa; Arthropoda; Insecta; Diptera; Culicidae.